GCGAACGCUGGCGGCAGGCCUCACACCUGCAAGUCGAACGAACCUUUCGGGGUUAGUGGCGGACGGGUGAGUAACACGUGGGAACGUGCCUUUAGGUUCGGAAUAACUCAGGGAAACUUGUGCUAAUACCGAAUGUGCCCUUCGGGGGAAAGAUUUAUCGCCUUUAGAGCGGCCCGCGUCUGAUUAGCUAGUUGGUUGAGGUAAUGGCUCACCAAGGCGACGAUCAGUAGCUGGUCUGAGAGGAUGAUCAGCCACAUUGGGACUGAGACACGGCCCAAACUCCUACGGGAGGCAGCAGUGGGGAAUCUUGCGCAAUGGGCGAAAGCCUGACGCAGCCAUGCCGCGUGAAUGAUGAAGGUCUUAGGAUUGUAAAAUUCUUUCACCGGGGACGAUAAUGACGGUACCCGGAGAAGAAGCCCCGGCUAACUUCGUG
Molecule: ribosomal RNA, 433 nt
Filed under: uncultured bacterium
Lineage: Bacteria
Description: partial 16S ribosomal RNA
Rfam family: Bacterial small subunit ribosomal RNA
Source: RNAcentral